This 314-nucleotide long non-coding RNA is filed under the name Daucus carota (carrot). Its description in RNAcentral is "long non-coding RNA (DCAR_LNC000373)". The record is from RNAcentral. Lineage: Eukaryota; Viridiplantae; Streptophyta; Magnoliopsida; Apiales; Apiaceae.
GCAGGACCAAGAAAAGUCUCAUUGUGUUGAUGUUAAUAAGUGAUUUUUUAUGUGCUUUAUCAAAUAUAUUUUUAUUCAUUUGAACUACUUGCUCAAGGGCUUUGAAUUCAUGUGCUUGUAAACUGUAAUUACUCUGUCUUGUCCUUGGAUCUCCAAUGGAGAAACUAUGUUCUAUGCUGAUGAGUCUGGGGUGCAUAUAAAUCAGGUGGAAGUAAAGCAUUAUAAGUAAUGGAUUAUAAUCUAAAUCAAGUGUGCAUAUAGAUCUGGGGGAAGUAAAGCACAAUAAGUAAUGGAUUAGAAUCUAAAUCAAGAAU